GCUGCACCUUGAAGGUCCGAUUGUGAUAGACAAGGAAAGGUUUCCAGGCGAAGGGUAAAAACACAGCUGUUGGGUACUGAGGUGCGUCAUGGGCUGGAGGGUGGGGCCCCUGCUCCACUUAACCCAGCUCACCCACAGGUGUAGAAAUGUCUGUUCUCCACAUUCACCCCCCUCCCACUCCUUGCCCUUGCCCACCAGCACUUCUGCCCACGAUGGGCACAGCAGGUCAUGCUAAUAGCUUACAUGGGAAUGUGGGAAAUAAGGUCAUUCUGUUCCCGUUCCAGUCUUGUUCUGGGGAAAUGUUUAGCAACCCACUGAGUGGGGAGGGGGACUUGGAGCAUCUGCCAGUUGCCACAGGGUAAAUACUCCCAUCUCAGCUAAAACCUCACGAAAAUUGCAACAUCACUAAAUACACAGCUCUUGUGAGCCCCGAAGAGCCAACUCCAGGCCAUCACCCUACCUACUCCCUCCUGGAAAAGUCUGCCUAAAGGUGGAUGAGAACUGCUCCUGAACGCUGUGCCUUCUCAAUGCGGUGCAGACCCUUCAUGCCCCACCUCUUCUUUCUUCAGCUGGGCUUGGCAAUCUUUGCCUUUCAGGGAGUGGUACAGAGAUAGAGCUGAAAGGGCGCCUGCCCAGGGAGCUGCUGGAGACAACAGAUGCACCUCAAUUCUGAACCCCUGUCCCCAUGGGCACAGGGACACAGCCCAAGACAAACAUGGAAACCAGCUCCUGGGGCUUCUAGGAGACGACAGUUCAUGGCAUACAGCCGAAUCCUCAGUGGAAACUUGGAGUCUUAACCACUGGACCUCCAGGGAAGUCCCAUGCUGCAUCAUUUGAUGGACCUAGGUACCCCAUUCCCUUGGACAUGGUGAUGUGCUGAGGAGCCCAGUUGUCCAGGUUAAUGGCAUCACCGUCAUGAGUUUGAGUAAGCUCCGGAAGUUGACGAUGGACAGGGAAGCCUGGCGUGCUGCAGUCCAUGGGGUCGCAAAGAGUCAGACACGACUGAGCGACUGAACUGACCUUAGGUUAAAACGUCCCCAAUUUUGCUGUUGGGGAGACACUGCCUUGGAGGAAAUGCCCCUCGUUUUCCUUUCUUGCUGUUGUAAUAAAUCCUUCCUUCUGAUCCUUUUGCUUGGUUGUGACACCCACCAGUGUUCUUUCCUGGAGAAUCCCAGGGACAGGGGAGCCUGGUGGGCUGCCAUCUAUGGGGUCACACAGAGUCGGACACGACUUAAGUGACUUAGCAGCAACAGACACCCACCAAGGGAUGAACUCAGUUUUCAGGGAACACCUUCCCUUCCAUUCCCUUCCCUUUCCUUCCCUUCCUUUCCUCCUUUCUAGCUUUUGGGAAAGCUUCAGGAAGGUUCCUGGUGCUCUUUAAGCCCCUAGGGAGCCUAAAGCUCACCCCUCAUUUCUAACCCCACCCCAACCCUAAGCCCUUCCCCAACCAGCAGCACAGGGCUCAUUAAAAAAAAAAAAAAAAAAACUAUUCAAAACUCAAGUAUCUAGCAGCCUCUCUGGUAACUGCAAGUGAGAACCUGAGUAAGAUCUGUAAAGAUCAUGUGAGUCAAGGGGGAAAUAAGGUCUAAUUUACGGAAGUCUCGUUUUGACCAGAUUUUCCCCAACCUCUGUCCACCCACCUAACCCCCCACCCACCCCGCGCGGGGUUUCCAACCCUCCCAGCCAGCCUUUCCUGACCCACCGUCCGUGACCCACCUUUCAGGCCAGGCUCCCAGUCCCCUCCCAUGGAAAUAUGACCUGUCACCUCAGCCGCUGGCUCAGACCACACACCGGGACACAGCCCAGCAGGAAAAGUCCAGAAGUGAUCAUCCCCACAGGCUCACGCCCCCUGGAGCAUCGCGGGACUCUGAGCACCGCCCAGAUCCGCAUCCGGAGCCUGGGCGGCGAGGGGGCGCGGGGGGUCCCGGUCUCUAACCCCCAGGUUCCAGGAAGUCUGCCGAGAGGCUGCACGCCCCCUCCUCCCACUUCCCGUCCUCCCCUCUCUCCCCGCCUUUCCCUCCGCCCCAUUCCCGGAUUGAAUUCCGGAAGAGUCCCCGAGCCUGCCGUGGGGUCCUGCAGGCGGUCCCUCUCCCGUCUGCUUUCUCUAUUAUUCUGAUCGACUCUCGGGGACACCGUUUGUCAACUGUCGAGAGCUAUGCAUAUGACCGGGGAAACCAGGACUGUGUCGCUUCAGAAAGCCGGGAGCAAGACACGCCCCAGAGCUGGUUUAACCUGCUGUAACUAGACUGGCUGAAUUAACUAUCCCUCAACUGGACACAUGACCACUCAUUCCUAUGGAGGACUUUCAUCUGACAAACAUUUUCUCCUCUCCUUUGUCCAUCCCACUGGGAAGCAUCAACUGGCUACUCCUCCUCCAUCCUGACUCCGCCCCCAUCACCUGUCUGCCUCUCCCUCCUCCACCUUACCUAGUCAGUCGCUUGGAUCCUCCCCAAGCUCCACUGCUUAGCUCAGGCUCAUCAGAGCUCACCUGAACUGCGGUAGCCUCCUCCCCAUCUACCCAUCUACCCCAGCUCCAUUCCCCAUAAAAGCAGGUCUCAGCUUGCCACUUCUCUGCUGCUAAUCCUGUUUUGCAUCAGAGGCCAAGGCCCAGCCCUCAGGGACCAACGAGCAGGACAAACCAGGGUGCCUGAAUAAAACAUGCCUCUUCCAGUCAGUCACCCAGGAGAAACUUACUCAUCCCAGGAGGGGAGGCGGGGGAAGAAGCUCUAGGGAGGAUUCUGGCCCAGCCAACUCUCAUCAACCGAGGUGAGGAAGGGGGACACGGUGGUGGCUCAGCCUGGGGUAAGGACUAGACCCCAUUCCACUUACAAACUGCCCUCUGCUUUUCUUAGAUGUUCAACCUCAUUCAUAAAAUCUGCUCAGUUGCUCUGUCGUGUCCAGCUCUUUGUGACCCCACAGACUGUAGCCUGUUAGGCUCCUCUGUCCAUGGGAUUCUCCAGGCAGGAAUACUGGAGUGGGUUGCCAUUUCCUUCUCCAGGGGAUCUUCCCGACCCAGGGAUUGAACCCUGGUCUCCUGUAUUACAGGCAGAUUCUUUACCAUCUGAGCCACUGGAGAAGCCCCCAUUCAUAACAUAAGAAAUGUAAAUUAAAACUACAAGAUACCAUUUUUCACCUAUCAGAUGAGCGAAACCAGAAACCCAGCAAAAGGGAGCUCAUGCCUGUCGAGGUCAAGGUGUGUGAAAACAGUCUGAAAGUUAAUUGGCACAGUCUCUUUAAAGGGCCAACUGGUAAUACUUGUCAAAAAAUUAUAUAUACAAACUCUUCCUCCUAGCAUUUCCACUUUCAGAAAUUUACCCUGCAGGUAUACAGGUGCCCUGGUGGCUCAGACGGUAAUGCAUCUGCCUGCAAUGCGGGAGACCCGGGUUCGAUUCCUGGGUCGGGAAGAUCCCCUGAAGAAGGAAAUGGCAAUCCACUCCAGUACUCUUGCCUGGAAAAUCCCACGGAUGGAGGAGCCUGAUAGGCUACAGUCCCUGGGGUCGCAAAGAGUCGGACACGACUGAGCAACUUCACUUUCCUUUCCUUUCCUUAUACAGGUGCCCCAGGGUUUUCCCAGUGGAUCAAUGGUAAAGUAUCUGUCAAUGCAGGAGACAGUGCGGGUUCUACCCCAGAAUUCGGAUGAUCCCCUGGAGGAGGAAAUGGCAAUUCACUCCAGUAUUCUUACCUGGAAAAUCCCAGAGACAGAGGACCCUGGCAGACUAUACAGUCCAUGAGGUUGCAAAAGAAUUGGACCUGACUGAGCAACUAAACCAUAACAACACCAUACAGGUGCCCUAACGUAUGUAUAAUAUGCAUCAGGAUAUUCACUGAACUAUAGCUUUCAUAGUUUCCAUUUGGAACCAAAAUAGGAGGGUAGUUAAUAAGUUCUACUUCAGCAAUACAAUUAAAUAUUACGUUCUAUUUAAAAGAAUGAGGCAGCUAAGUACUAAAAUUAAGUGAUCCUAAUUAAGAUUUAUCAUGUGCAAAAGCAAAGUGCAGAACAGUGAGUACAGCAUUUAAAGCUUAUGAUUUAAAAAAAAAAAAAGUAAACAUUUCAUAAGUAUAGAGUGUCUUUGGAAGGAAACAAUCAACAACAGUGUUGUGGAGUGGGAUGCUGGGAGACCAAGAAUAUAAAUGGGAGGAAGACUUUAUGGUGUGUGCCCUUUGAAUUUUGUGAAAUAUUAUCAAAUCCAGCAAAAUAUCAUGAAUGUAUAUUUCAUAUGUAUAUUAUGUAUGUGUGUGUGUAUAGAAUAAUUUUAAGUGUAAGGGACCUUUUAAAAAAUAUGUUUAUUUAUUUAUUUGGCCAUGCCUUGAAGCUUGCAGGAUCUUAGUUCUAUAACCGGGGAUCAAAACUCAGCAGUGGAUGUGCACAGUCCUAACCCCUGCACCCCGAGGGAAUUCCCUAAAAGGAGAGGAUUUUUCUACCCUGCUGCCGUCUAUGGGGUCGCACAGGGUCGGACACGACUGAAGUGACUUAGCAGCAGCAGCAGCAGUGCUCCGUGAGAGAUGGUGAUAAGCGUACUGCAUGGCCCUGCCCCUUCCAGACCUCAAUUUUCCAUCUAUACAAUGGCAGUCUCGGGGACUGCAAGGACAUCAAACCAGUCAAUCCUAAAAGAAGUCAACCCUGAAUAUUCAUGGAAGGACUGAUGCUGAAGCUGAAGCUGCAGUACUUUGACUACAUGAUUUGACAAGCCGACCCAUUGGAAAAGACCCUAAUACUGGGGAAGAUUAACGGCAGGAGGAAAAGGGGGUGACAGAGGAUGAGAUGGUUGGAUAGCAUCACCAACUCAAUGGACAUGAAUUUGAACAAACUCCAGGAGAUAGUGGAGGCCAGAGGAGCCUGGUGUGCUGCAGGUCCGUGAGGUUGCAAAGAAUCAGACACAACUUACCAAAUGAAUAACAGUGAGAGUUUGAGACUAGGUUCCUGCCUUACUUCUUAAUCUUACAGCUAACCAACCAAACCAGUACCGAUGUAGUGGCCAUAAGAUGACCUUUGAUGGGCUGGGGAAGGGAUGGUAUAAAAUGGCAUUAAUGAAUGAGCAAAGUCCGGGAGAUAGUGGAGGACAGGGAAGUUGGGCGUGCUGCAGUCACUGGGGCUACAAAGAGUUGGACAUGACUUAGCAACUAAAAAACAACAACAACAAUAAAAGUCGGAGGCACUGCCAUCAGUUGAACAGGAUCACUCCUGUGGCUUUGGAGCAAGUGAUCAUGGGAAAGCUGCAUCUGCCUGCAUUGGGGACACCUGUCUCUCCUGCAAAUCAGUUCCCUAGGGCUUGGCAGCUUCUUCCCUCCCAUCACCUAUCUGCUUCUUCCAUCACCAAUCUGCCCACCUGCCUCUAUCCCUGAGGCCCUCAGGGAGGAGCUGACCCAGGGAAGGAGCUAGAGACAGCAGUGGAACAAGUUCUAUGGGGCAGAGGGAAGGCGCCUACCUCCCUAUUUAUUAACUGAGGUCCUGGCCUCCCUCCGGCCCUGAUCUAGGCAGAUCAGGCUCUGCCUAGCUUAGCCUGCCUGCCCGCUCCUCCCCACCUCCCUGUGCCCAUUCAAAGGAGGCAGCUCUCAUAUAUGCUGGAGCUUGACACACCCAGCUCCUUCCACCAGUCUAGCCUUCUCCUCUAACAGAAGAUGUCUGUGCCUGAGGCUGGGAGACCUGAGAUGCCUGCUAUGUUGAGCCUCCCUGGGAGGUGAGACCUGGCAAUCUGAGCCUUCAGAGCACACCCAGAGCCCCAGUUAGCAGGCAGCCAUCUCUCUCCAAAGCCUCCUGCUGGGCUCAGCACUGGCCUUUUCUCUCUCUGUCUCUUUACGAAAAAAAAAAGUAUUUAUUUAUUUGGUGGUAUCAGCCUGUAGGAUCUUCAAUCUUCGUUGCAGCAUGCAAGCUCUUAAUUGUGGAAUUGUCUAGUUCCCUGACCAGGGAUCGAACCCAGAUCUCCUGCGCUGGGGGCACGGAGUCUUAGCUACUGGACCAGCAGGGAGUUUCCUGGCCUUUUUCUUAAUGAUCUUAAUGAUGAGAGCCAAAGGGAAAAUACAUGGGAGUCAGAGGAACUGAGGCUGGAUAUUUUCCUGGCCCUUAUUCUCUCUCUCCCAUCCACCCUGGGUUUUCUGUUCCAGAUCAGCCCUAGCCCCAUGAUGAAGUCACUCUCCUUCUUGGGGCCUUCUAGUCCAGCUUCAAGAAGAGGGGCUUGGGCCCAGGAAGCUGCUUGUUACCAGAUGCCCCCAGGUGGUUCCAAGGCAGGUGCUGGGUGGACAGGGUUAAAGAAGCAGCUGUCUUGUACAUUCCAGAAAGGCUUUGUCUUACAUUCCUCCUGGAUGUACCCCUAGAAGCCAAGGGUCUGAAGUGAGCAACCAAGAGGCUGGGGCUUCUGGAAACAAGGCAGAUGAUCCUCUUUGUGGGACUUGACUCUGAAAGCUGCUACCAUCAGUGGUUAGGAUUCUGAGCUUCUACUGCCCGGGGCCCCAGUUCAAUCCCUGGUCAGGGAACAAGAUCAUACAAGCAACACAUUGCAGACAAAUAAAUUAAAAAAAAAAUUUUUUUUAAAGAAAUACCAAUCUUACAACCCAGCCAUUGCGUCCUUCGAUUCUUACCCAAGAAUGAAAACAUGUCCACACAAAGACGUUACACAAAUGUUUGUAGGAGUUUUUCUGGUAAUAACCCCAAACUGGAAACAACACAAAUAUCGACCAUUAGAAUGGAUAAACAAAUAUGGUAUAUCCAUACAACAGAAUGUUACUCAGCAGUCAAAAGGAACAAACGAUUGAUUCACACAACAUGGAUGAACUUCAAAAUAAUUAUGUUGAGUGAAAGAAGACCAAAAAGAGUAUAUUCUGUUUGAUUUCAUUUAGGUAAAAUUCUAGAAAGGGAAUCAGUGGUUACCUGGGGCGAAGGUAGAGAGAAAGAGGGAGAGAUUACAAAAGGGCACGGGACUUCCCUGGUGGUCCAGUGGUUAAAACUCCUUGCUCCCAAUGCCGGGAGCAUGACUUUGAUGCCUGGUCUUGGUCCUGCAUACUCCACAACACAGCCAAAAUAAUAGUGAUAAUGGCAUGAAGAAACUUCUAGGUAUGAUGAGUAGGUUCAUUACCUUUAUUAAAGUAAUGUUGACACGUGUUGAAACCCAAAUUAUUUUGUGCUUUGAAUAUGCACCGUUUGUUAUGUGUCCAUUGUAAUUUAAACAAAUUUUAUUGGAAGAUAUUUGCUUCGUAUUGUGCUGAUUUCUGCUAUCCAUCAACAUGAACCAGCCACAGGUAUACAAAUGUCCCCUCCCUCUUGAG
Molecule: long non-coding RNA, 7260 nt
Organism: Bos taurus (domestic cattle)
Lineage: Eukaryota; Metazoa; Chordata; Mammalia; Artiodactyla; Bovidae
Source: Ensembl